RNAcentral lists this ribosomal RNA (468 nucleotides) under uncultured bacterium. Its description in RNAcentral is "partial 16S ribosomal RNA". The stretch from base 54 to 468 matches the Rfam family "Bacterial small subunit ribosomal RNA", at positions 35 to 507 of the family's 1533-position model. The record is from RNAcentral.
GGGGGGGGGGGGGGGGGGGGGGGGGGGGGGGGGGUGGGGGGGGGGGGGGGGGGGUUUGGGGGGUGGGCGAGGGGGGGGCGGGGGAGUGACACGGGGGUAACCUGCCCUUGACUUGGGGAUAACUGCAGGAAACUGGGGCGAAUACCGGAUAGGAGCGCCUGCUGCAUGGUGUGGGUUGGAAAGUGUCGGCGGUUGGGGAUGGACUCGCGGCUUAUCAGCUUGUUGGUGGGGUAGUGGCUUACCAAGGCUUUGACGGGUAGCCGGCCUGAGAGGGUGACCGGCCACAUGGGGACUGAGAUACGGCCAAGACGCCAACGGGAGGCAGCAGUGGGGAAUAUGGCACAAUGGGCGGAAGCCUGAUGCAGCAACGCCGCGUGCGGGAUGACGGCCUUCGGGUUGUAAACCGCUUUCGCCUGUGACGAAGCGUGAGUGACGGUAAUGGGUAAAGAAGCACCGGCUAACUACGUG